RNAcentral lists this ribosomal RNA (440 nucleotides) under uncultured bacterium. Its description in RNAcentral is "bacterial SSU rRNA". It matches the Rfam family "Bacterial small subunit ribosomal RNA", at positions 106 to 581 of the family's 1533-position model. The record is from RNAcentral.
GUGAGUAACGCGUGGGAACGUGCCUUUCGGUUCGGGAUAACCCUGGGAAACUUGGGCUAAUACCGGAUACGCCCUUCGGGGGAAAGAUUCAUUGCCGAAAGAUCGGCCCGCGUCGGAUUAGCUAGUUGGUGGGGUAAUGGCCUACCAAGGCGACGAUCCGUAGCUGGUCUGAGAGGAUGACCAGCCACACUGGGACUGAGACACGGCCCAGACUCCUACGGGAGGCAGCAGUGGGGAAUAUUGGACAAUGGGCGCAAGCCUGAUCCAGCCAUGCCGCGUGGGUGAAGAAGGCCUUAGGGUUGUAAACCCCUUUCAGCGGGGAAGAUAAUGACGGUACCCGCAGAAGAAGUCCCGGCUAACUCCGUGCCAGCAGCCGCGGUAAUACGGAGGGGACUAGCGUUGUUCGGAAUUACUGGGCGUAAAGCGCACGUAGGCGGAUU